Molecule: ribosomal RNA, 253 nt
Filed under: uncultured bacterium
Lineage: Bacteria
Description: partial 16S ribosomal RNA
Rfam family: Bacterial small subunit ribosomal RNA
Source: RNAcentral
UACGUAGGGGGCAAGCGUUGUCCGGAUUUAUUGGGCGUAAAGAGCGUGUAGGCGGCUGGGUAGGUCUGCUGUGAAAACUCGAGGCUCAACCUCGAGACGUCGGCGGAAACCCUCCAGCUAGAGUCCGGAAGAGGAGAGUGGAAUUCCUGGUGUAGCGGUGAAAUGCGCAGAUAUCAGGAAGAACACCGAUGGCGAAGGCAGGUCUCUGGGCCACUACUGACGCUGAGAAGCGAAAGCAUGGGGAGCGAACAGG